GGGUGAGUAACGCGUGGGAAGCUACCUUUUGGUAAGGAACAACAGUUUGAAAAGACUGCUAUACCUUAUGAGCCCUAUGGGGGAAAGAUUUAUCGCCAAGAGAUGUGCCCGCGUUAGAUUAGCUAGUUGGUGAGGUAAUGGCUCACCAAGGCGACGAUCUAUAGCUGGUCUGAGAGGAUGAUCAGCCACACUGGGACUGAGACACGGCCCAGACUCCUACGGGAGGCAGCAGUGGGGAAUAUUGGACAAUGGGGGCAACCCUGAUCCAGCCAUGCCGCGUGAGUGAUGACGGCCUUAGGGUUGUAAAGCUCUUUCAGCAGUGAAGAUAAUGACAUUAACUGCAGAAGAAGCCCCGGCUAACUUCGUGCCAGCAGCCGCGGUAAUACGAAGGGGGCUAGCGUUGUUCGGAAUCACUGGGCGUAAAGCGUACGUAGGCGGAUUGAUAAGUUAGGGGUGAAAUCCCAAGGCUCAACCUUGGAACUGCCUUUGAUACUGUCAGUCUUGAGAUCGAGAGAGGUGAGUGGAACUCCGAGUGUAGAGGUGAAAUUCGUAGAUAUUCGGAAGAACACCAGUGGCGAAGGCGGCUCACUGGCUCGAUACUGACGCUGAGGUACGAAAGCGUGGGGAGCAAACAGGAUUAGAUACCCCUGGUAGUCCACGCCGUAAACGAUGAAUGCUAGUUGUCAGGUAGCUUGCUAUUUGGUGACGCAGCUAACGCAUUAAGCAUUCCGCCUGGGGAGUACGGUCGCAAGAUUAAAACUCAAAGGAAUUGACGGGGGCCCGCACAAGCGGUGGAGCAUGUGGGUUUAAUUCGAAGCAACGCGCAGAACCUUACCAGCCCUUGACAUUUGGCGCUACAACGGGAGACCGUUGGUUCCCUUCGGGGACGUCAGGACAGGUGCUGCAUGGCUGUCGUCAGCUCGUGUCGUGAGAAUGUUGGGUUAAGUCCCGCAACGAGCGCA
Molecule: ribosomal RNA, 962 nt
Filed under: bacterium S_A17_125
Lineage: Bacteria
Description: bacterial SSU rRNA
Rfam family: Bacterial small subunit ribosomal RNA
Source: RNAcentral